AUGAUUGAGGCUCUGUGGCUUUGCUGCUCCGGUCCUCGUGUAAUACCCAGAGAACAACCUGAGAGAUCCCAGGGAGGGCUGAGCUCUGAUAUCUUCCAUCUUCUGCUGCUGCACCAGAAAUGUGAGCAUCUAACUGUAAGUAAGAUAAAUACGCUUUUAUGCUGUGUACGUAACCUUUGAGUUUGUUCUAUUGCCAACUUAUCGUUAUAUAUGAUCUGGAUCAGUUUUGUUUCUGCUGUGUGUAUAAAUAUUGAUGAGAAAUCCAAAGCCUUUUUUUUUUUUUCUCUGUAGAAAAUAACUAUGUUUAUGUCAGACACAAAUAGAUGAGUGGGAAAUGAUGUUCCUUAAACUUCUGCUUUGGUGUAUUUAGGAGACGUAUCAAGCACAGACA
Molecule: long non-coding RNA, 391 nt
Filed under: Meleagris gallopavo (turkey)
Lineage: Eukaryota; Metazoa; Chordata; Aves; Galliformes; Phasianidae
Description: lncRNA (ENSMGAG00000019926.1)
Source: RNAcentral